UGCCAGCAGCCGCGGUAAUACGGAGGGUGCGAACGUUAAUCGGAAUUACUGGGCGUAAAGCGCGCGUAGGUGGUUUGAUAAGUGGGAUGUGAAAGCCCCGGGCUCAACCUGGGAACUGCAUUCCAAACUGUCAAGCUAGAGUAUGGUAGAGGGAGGUAGAAUUUCCUGUGUAGCGGUGAAAUGCGUAGAUAUAGGAAGGAAUACCGGUGGCGAAGGCGGCCUCCUGGACCGAUAUUGACACUGAGGUGCGAAAGCGUGGGGAGCAAACAGGAUUAGAUA
RNAcentral lists this ribosomal RNA (279 nucleotides) under uncultured bacterium. RNAcentral's name for it is "partial 16S ribosomal RNA". It matches the Rfam family "Bacterial small subunit ribosomal RNA", at positions 506 to 784 of the family's 1533-position model. The record is from RNAcentral.